GAUGAACGCUGGCGGCGUGCCUAAUACAUGCAAGUCGAGCGAACAGACGAGGAGCUUGCUCCUCUGACGUUAGCGGCGGACGGGUGAGUAACACGUGGAUAACCUACCUAUAAGACUGGGAUAACUUCGGGAAACCGGAGCUAAUACCGGAUAAUAUAUUGAACCGCAUGGUUCAAUAGUGAAAGACGGUUUUGCUGUCACUUAUAGAUGGAUCCGCGCCGCAUUAGCUAGUUGGUAAGGUAACGGCUUACCAAGGCAACGAUGCGUAGCCGACCUGAGAGGGUGAUCGGCCACACUGGAACUGAGACACGGUCCAGACUCCUACGGGAGGCAGCGGUAGGGAAUCUUCCGCAAUGGGCGAAAGCCUGACGGAGCAACGCCGCGUGAGUGAUGAAGGUCUUCGGAUCGUAAAACUCUGUUAUUAGGGAAGAACAAAUGUGUAAGUAACUAUGCACGUCUUGACGGUACCUAAUCAGAAAGCCACGGCUAACUACGU
This 496-nucleotide ribosomal RNA is filed under the name uncultured bacterium. RNAcentral's name for it is "partial 16S ribosomal RNA". It matches the Rfam family "Bacterial small subunit ribosomal RNA", at positions 28 to 506 of the family's 1533-position model. The record is from RNAcentral.